GAUGAACGCUAGCGGGAGGCUUAACACAUGCAAGUCGAAGGGCAGCAUUAUCGCUUGCGAUAGAUGGCGACUGGCGAACGGGUGCGUAACGCGUAUGCAACCUACCCUCAACUGGAGAAUAGCCCAGAGAAAUUUGGAUUAAUACUCCAUAGUAUUACAGAUUCGCAUGUUUCUGUAAUUAAAGUUUUAAUGGUUGAGGAUGGGCAUGCGUGACAUUAGUUUGUUGGUGAGGUAAUGGCUCACCAAGACUACGAUGUCUAGGGGUUCUGAGAGGAUGAUCCCCCACACUGGUACUGAGACACGGACCAGACUCCUACGGGAGGCAGCAGUGAGGAAUAUUGGACAAUGGAGGCAACUCUGAUCCAGCCAUCCCGCGUGCAGGAAGACGGCCCUAUGGGUUGUAAACUGCUUUUUAUACAGGAAUAAACCCCUCUACGUGUAGAGGGCUGAAGGUACUGUAAGAAUAAGCACCGGCUAACU
This 480-nucleotide ribosomal RNA is filed under the name uncultured bacterium. Its description in RNAcentral is "bacterial SSU rRNA". It matches the Rfam family "Bacterial small subunit ribosomal RNA", at positions 28 to 502 of the family's 1533-position model. The record is from RNAcentral.